Molecule: transfer RNA, 73 nt
Filed under: Stegodyphus mimosarum
Lineage: Eukaryota; Metazoa; Arthropoda; Arachnida; Araneae; Eresidae
Rfam family: tRNA
About the family: Transfer RNA (tRNA) molecules are approximately 80 nucleotides in length. Their secondary structure includes four short double-helical elements and three loops (D, anti-codon, and T loops).
Source: Rfam by way of RNAcentral
GCCUUCGUGGUAUAAUGGUCAGCAGAUUCGACACGUAUUCGAGAGGUCCAAGGUUCGAGUCCUGGCGAGGGCA